GCCGGUGUAGCUCAGCUGGCAGAGCAACUGUCUUGUAAACAGUAGGUCGUCGGUUCGAAUCCGACCACCGGCUCCA
This 76-nucleotide transfer RNA is filed under the name Chloroflexota bacterium. Its description in RNAcentral is "Chloroflexi bacterium (hot springs metagenome) tRNA-Thr". It matches the Rfam family "tRNA". From Rfam's summary of the family: Transfer RNA (tRNA) molecules are approximately 80 nucleotides in length. Their secondary structure includes four short double-helical elements and three loops (D, anti-codon, and T loops). The record is from RNAcentral. Lineage: Bacteria; Bacillati; Chloroflexota.